This 467-nucleotide ribosomal RNA is filed under the name uncultured bacterium. Its description in RNAcentral is "partial 16S ribosomal RNA". It matches the Rfam family "Bacterial small subunit ribosomal RNA", at positions 28 to 507 of the family's 1533-position model. The record is from RNAcentral.
GACGAACGCUGGCGGCGUGCUUAACACAUGCAAGUCGAACGGAAAGGCCCUGCUUUUGUGGGGUGCUCGAGUGGCGAACGGGUGAGUAACACGUGAGUAACCUGCCCUUGACUUUGGGAUAACUUCAGGAAACUGGGGCUAAUACCGGAUAGGAGCUCCUGCUGCAUGGUGGGGGUUGGAAAGUUUCGGCGGUUGGGGAUGGACUCGCGGCUUAUCAGCUUGUUGGUGGGGUAGUGGCUUACCAAGGCUUUGACGGGUAGCCGGCCUGAGAGGGUGACCGGCCACAUGGGGACUGAGAUACGGCCCAGACUCCUACGGGAGGCAGCGGUGGGGAAUAUUGCACAAGGGGCGGAGGCCUGAUGCAGCAACGCCGCGUGCGGGAUGACGGCCUUCGGGUUGUAAACCGCUUUCGCCGGUGACGAAGCGUGAGGGAGGUAAUGGGUAAAGAAGCACCGGCUAACUACGUG